Phascolarctos cinereus (koala) is the source of this 412-nucleotide non-coding RNA. The record is from RefSeq and is a predicted model, not a curated record. Lineage: Eukaryota; Metazoa; Chordata; Mammalia; Diprotodontia; Phascolarctidae.
GCCUCCUUUGCUGGGUCUUCAGCUAAGCUGCACAGUUUUCAAUGAUCCUAAUCUGCUGAUUGCCUCAAAACACCACCAUUAAUAUAAAUUUUUUCUUGGAGAUGCUAUACAGAAGAUGGGCAGGAACCAUGCUGGCAUAAAGUCUGUCCUCCUGUCUCUGGCCAUCAUACCCCUGCUGAUGGAUAUGUUUCUCCCAAGAAGAUGAAUACCCCUGUACAACCACAGGUUCUUCGGAGAAAGAAUGUCAAUACAUAAGAAUAAGAAAUGGUUUCACUUCUAGGGAACUGCCCUGUGUGUUUUAAGACUAGCUUUGGGCAAUCUGGAGGAUUUUACUGCUCUGGAAAAAUUGAAGCUUUGCCUCCACCCUUACCCCUCCAACACAUCUGUCUGCAGCAGUAACUUAUGGGGUGGA